CCUACGGGAGGCAGCAGUGAGGAAUAUUGGUCAAUGGACGAGAGUCUGAACCAGCCAAGUAGCGUGAAGGAUGACUGCCCUAUGGGUUGUAAACUUCUUUUAUAUGGGAAUAAAAUGUUCCACGUGUGGGUUUUUGUAUGUACCAUAUGAAUAAGGAUCGGCUAACUCCGUGCCAGCAGCCGCGGUAAUAGGGAGGAUCCGAGCGUUAUCCGGAUUUAUUGGGUUUAAAGGGAGCGUAGGUGGAUUGUUAAGUCAGUUGUGAAAGUUUGCGGCUCAACCGUAAAAUUGCAGUUGAAACUGGCAGUCUUGAGUACAGUAGAGGUGGGCGGAAUUCGUGGUGUAGCGGUGAAAUGCUUAGAUAUCACGAAGAACUCCGAUUGCGAAGGCAGCUCACUGGACUGCAACUGACACUGAGGCUCGAAAGUGUGGGUAUCAAACAGGAUUAGAUACCCCUGUAGUC
This 460-nucleotide ribosomal RNA is filed under the name uncultured bacterium. RNAcentral's name for it is "partial 16S ribosomal RNA". It matches the Rfam family "Bacterial small subunit ribosomal RNA", at positions 338 to 795 of the family's 1533-position model. The record is from RNAcentral.